This is a long non-coding RNA of Prosopis cineraria, 932 nucleotides long. RefSeq lists it as uncharacterized. NCBI's taxonomy places the organism in Eukaryota, Viridiplantae, Streptophyta, Magnoliopsida, Fabales, Fabaceae. The transcript has 6 exons. The record is from RefSeq and is a predicted model, not a curated record.
UCUUCUUCUCUCUCACCUUCCAGAUCAUUCCAUCUAUCGGAUUUGCCGCCCUCUUACCCUCUCAUCCUUACUGCCACUGCGGCGGAGACUCUCCCCCAUCAUCACCGUGCCUCCUUUUUGUCUUCAGUCCUCCUCCAAUUGAGCUUCUCUUCAACUUCAUCUCCCCUCCUUUGUUGUCACUACGUUCUCUUUGUAUCCCUUUCAUCUACCAUCACCACCUCUAAACCCCACUACUUCUCUCUCCAGACGCAAUCUCUCUCUCUCUGCUCGAGGUUAAAGAAGAUGUAGUGAAGCAAUAUAUGAAAGCAUAAGAGAGAGAUUUAGUAGAAAAUCAUGAAUACGAGAUUGUGAGAGAUAGAGAUUUAGCACAUCAGAAGCCUGAGCUGAGACUGAGUAUGGUGCUUGAGUUCAUUCAUCGAGUUGCAAAGGGAAGCCCUUGCAUUAAUUUUGCUUUGCCCUUGGCUCAAGGUUGUUAGGAUAUUGUAGUAGACAUUAUAGUUUGAAUUUUACAGGGUUGUUGUGCUUGGCUUUCUUUGAUUGUAAAUCUACUUAUUUUGAUGAACAAGUAGACUAAGAAGAAAUGGCGCACAUGAACAUCAUAAAGUGUGACUUAAAAGUACAAGUUGGACAAACUAGAGAUGGAGAUAUGCUCUAACAGAUGCCAAAGGGGUUUCAUAGUAUUAUAAUAUAUUCGGUUAACCGCAAACAUACGACUUAUUUUCUUUUGCUCCAUUAUCUCUACACUCUCUAAAGACUUUGAGGACCAGUAGGUUUGUGCAUCUGCCUACAUUCGAGGUGGCAUGUGACUUGUGCAUCAAUUGGGCAAUUGAGGUCAACACUCCUUGAGGUCAAUGGCUGAUGGUUUGCACGUGAAUUAUGAUUAUUUUGAGGGUUAAAUCAGCUAAAAUGAUGUGGAUGACACAUGGAAAAUU